GGUAGUUUUUAGUACGUAUGCGCCAUGGAUGGCGAAUCGUGCAUGCUGCUACUAAGAACCAGCCGUACCUUUUGAAGAUUUUCUACC
Molecule: non-coding RNA, 87 nt
Organism: Glossina austeni
Lineage: Eukaryota; Metazoa; Arthropoda; Insecta; Diptera; Glossinidae
Source: Rfam